CCCAAAGGCACGUGUCGU
This 18-nucleotide small nuclear RNA is filed under the name Arabidopsis thaliana (thale cress). RNAcentral's name for it is "snRNA_04183". The record is from RNAcentral. Lineage: Eukaryota; Viridiplantae; Streptophyta; Magnoliopsida; Brassicales; Brassicaceae.